GCCGGCGUGGCGGAAUUGGUAGACGCAGCAGACUCAAAAUCUGCCGCCCGCAAGGGUGUAUCGGUUCAAGUCCGAUCGCCGGUA
This is a transfer RNA of 84 nucleotides. It matches the Rfam family "tRNA". Rfam says of the family: Transfer RNA (tRNA) molecules are approximately 80 nucleotides in length. The record is from Rfam.